RNAcentral lists this non-coding RNA (174 nucleotides) under Shewanella pealeana. RNAcentral's name for it is "Lysine sequence". It matches the Rfam family "Lysine riboswitch aptamer". From Rfam's summary of the family: Riboswitches are metabolite binding domains within certain messenger RNAs that serve as precision sensors for their corresponding targets. Allosteric rearrangement of mRNA structure is mediated by ligand binding, and this results in modulation of gene expression. The record is from RNAcentral. RNAcentral also lists the same sequence under 1 other name. Lineage: Bacteria; Pseudomonadati; Pseudomonadota; Gammaproteobacteria; Alteromonadales; Shewanellaceae.
CCUUUGAGUAGAGGCGCGCUGCCUAAAAGUAUCCAGAUAGAGGGUGACACCUAAGACAUCUGGGGAAAGGAGUCAGCGCCGAAGUUAUUGUUGCGUCAUCAACAAUCGCUGGGUCUGCAUUUAACAGAUGCAGGACUGCCAUAGUUAUGUUGUCUAUGGAGCGCUACCUAAAGG